This 253-nucleotide ribosomal RNA is filed under the name uncultured bacterium. Its description in RNAcentral is "partial 16S ribosomal RNA". It matches the Rfam family "Bacterial small subunit ribosomal RNA", at positions 524 to 776 of the family's 1533-position model. The record is from RNAcentral.
UACGAAGGGGGCGAGCGUUGUUCGGAUUUACUGGGCGUAAAGGGCGCGCAGGCGGCCAUUCAAGUCAGGCGUGAAAGCCCCGGGCUUAACCUGGGAGGUGCGUCUGGGACUGGGUGGCUAGAGAUCGGGAGAGGAGAGUGGAAUUCCUGGUGUAGCGGUGAAAUGCGCAGAUAUCAGGAGGAACACCAAUGGCGAAGGCAGCUCGCUGGGACGUGACUGACGCUGAGACGCGAAAGCGUGGGGAGCAAACAGG